This 504-nucleotide ribosomal RNA is filed under the name uncultured bacterium. Its description in RNAcentral is "bacterial SSU rRNA". It matches the Rfam family "Bacterial small subunit ribosomal RNA", at positions 15 to 518 of the family's 1533-position model. The record is from RNAcentral.
GAUCAUGGCGUCAGGAUGAACGCUGGCGGCGUGCCUAAUACAUGCAAGUCGAGCGAGAAUCUGAAGAUCUGCGAUCGUCAAAGAGAUUCAGAGGAAAGCGGCGGACGGGUGAGUAACGCGUAGGCAACCUGCCCCUAGCAGAGGGAUAGCCAUCGGAAACGAUGAUUAAAACUUCAUAAUGCUGUUUUAACACAUGUUGAGACAGCCAAAGAUUUAUCGGCUGGGGAUGGGCCUGCGUCUGAUUAACUAGUUGGUGAGGUAACGGCCCACCAAGGUGACGAUCAGUAGCCGACCUGAGAGGGUGAUCGGCCACAUUGGAACUGAGACACGGUCCAAACUUCUACGGAAGGCAGCAGUAAGGAAUCUUGCACAAUGGGGGAAACCCUGAUGCAGCAACGCCGCGUGAACGAUGAAGGCCUUAGGGUUGUAAAGUUCUGAUCUGGGGGAAGAAGAAGUGACGGUACCCCAGGAGAAAGCCCCGGCUAAAUACGUGCCAGCAGCUGC